This 492-nucleotide ribosomal RNA is filed under the name uncultured bacterium. Its description in RNAcentral is "partial 16S ribosomal RNA". It matches the Rfam family "Bacterial small subunit ribosomal RNA", at positions 29 to 507 of the family's 1533-position model. The record is from RNAcentral.
AGUGAACGCUGGCGGUAGGCCUAACACAUGCAAGUCGAACGGCAGCACAGUAAGAGCUUGCUCUUACGGGUGGCGAGUGGCGGACGGGUGGGGAAUACAUCGGAAUCUCCUUUUUCGUGGGGGAUAACGUAGGGAAACUUACGCUAAUACCGCAUACGACCUACGGGUGAAAGCAGGGGAUCUUCGGACCUUGCGCGAUUGAAUGAGCCGAUGUCGGAUUAGCUAGUUGGCGGGGUAAAGGCCCACCAAGGCGACGAUCCGUAGCUGGUCUGAGAGGAUGAUCAGCCACACUGGAACUGAGACACGGUCCAGACUCCUACGGGAGGCAGCAGUGGGGAAUAUUGGACAAUGGGCGCAAGCCUGAUCCAGCCAUACCGCGUGGGUGAAGAAGGCCUUCGGGUUGUAAAGCCCUUUUGUUGGGAAAGAAAAGCAGCAGGUUAAUACCCCGCUGUUCUGACGGUACCCAAAGAAUAAGCACCGGCUAACUUCGUG